CUCCUACCUGCAGAAACACACAGCGGAGCACAUCAUUGACCUCAGGGAGGAGUGCUGGCAGCCGCUCAUCUACUAUCGGGCUUCUCUGUUGGCUGCAGCUGAAGCAGAAGACGCUGCGUCCUACGUUAGCUCUGACAGGAAGCCCAAUCGCUCUCCUUUCUCCAAACAAAAACUAGAAGGGAGCAAGUCCCCCUGCCCGUUCAGCCCCGUUGACUCCAAAGUUGGGAAAGCUCACAGAUCCAGCUUCAGUCCAAGCCAACAGGAAAAGACGGCCGACACGGACCCGUUUUCUGUCCCUGUGGAAGCUCCCGCAAAGAAAUUAAACAUCGAGGGAUCCGUGCUCAGCGCCGGCGGCGAGGCGAACGACGACACUGUGGAAGUUGAGCUGUAACGGUUAUGAGGAGGUUGGAGGAGGACUGGCGCUUCUGUUUGACCUCACACUGGACGUCACAAACUUUGAGUGAGACGUUUUACUUUCCUGUGUCUUCUCCGUUCUGAUGUGUCCCUGCGUCCUGUUCAUACAGGUUUGCUGAAAAUGCAGUACGUUAUGUUUCGUAUGAGGAUGUAGUUUUAAAGGAUAAUAUUUUUCUUUUUGUCGACAAAUCUCAUGAAAAGACAGAUCAAGAAUUUACACUAAAAAUACCACAAUUACGUGUGCCAAAUCUGUUAUAUCUUAUUCCUCUCUGCCAUAAACAAAGUAUUAAAAACAAACUAAAAACCGAUAGAUCCUAGCAGUAAAGUUAACCAGAAGACAAUAAAAUUUAAAGGUAACCAAUGUCUGUGGGAGCAACGCUGAUCCUGCAGCAAAGUGGGUCUUUAUUCAUAUAUAGCAAAAGCAGCCAUGUGUAUAAAUUUAGUAGUUUGCGUAACUUCAAACUGCUAAUUUAGUAAUAACUUCUAUCACCGUCCAGCCUGUCCAGGUAACGAGUAUAACUGUAAAACGUCCCCUAGUACAAAUAAAAAUAAAUAAAAUAAGUUUUCACCCUUUGAGGCAAAUUGGCUUGAUUUAUUUCAAA
This is a non-coding RNA of Plectropomus leopardus (leopard coralgrouper), 1016 nucleotides long. Lineage: Eukaryota; Metazoa; Chordata; Actinopteri; Perciformes; Serranidae. The record is from RefSeq and is a predicted model, not a curated record.